Molecule: transfer RNA, 72 nt
Filed under: Heterocephalus glaber (naked mole-rat)
Lineage: Eukaryota; Metazoa; Chordata; Mammalia; Rodentia; Bathyergidae
Rfam family: tRNA
About the family: Transfer RNA (tRNA) molecules are approximately 80 nucleotides in length. Their secondary structure includes four short double-helical elements and three loops (D, anti-codon, and T loops). Further hydrogen bonds mediate the characteristic L-shaped molecular structure. tRNAs have two regions of fundamental functional importance: the anti-codon, which is responsible for specific mRNA codon recognition, and the 3' end, to which the tRNAs corresponding amino acid is attached (by aminoacyl-tRNA synthetases). tRNAs cope with the degeneracy of the genetic code in two manners: having more than one tRNA (with a specific anti-codon) for a particular amino acid; and 'wobble' base-pairing, i.e. permitting non-standard base-pairing at the 3rd anti-codon position.
Source: Rfam by way of RNAcentral
UGCGGUGGUGCUCAGUGGUAGGGUGCUUGCCUAGAGUGCACAAGACUCUGGGUUCUACUCCCAGCACCGCAA